RNAcentral lists this transfer RNA (91 nucleotides) under Kitasatospora herbaricolor. RNAcentral describes it as "tRNA-Pro". The record is from RNAcentral. Lineage: Bacteria; Bacillati; Actinomycetota; Actinomycetes; Kitasatosporales; Streptomycetaceae.
GCGUAGCCGGGCGGCCGCCGGGCGCCCCCGGGGCGGGCCCCCGGUCCGCCGGGCCGGGCCGGCGUGCCAUGCUCGGCCCAUGCGCUACGUC